CGAACGGCAGCACGGGAGCAAUCCUGGUGGCGAGUGGCGAACGGGUGAGUAAUAUAUCGGAACGUGCCCAGUCGUGGGGGAUAACGUAGCGAAAGCUACGCUAAUACCGCAUACGUCCUACGGGAGAAANCGGGGGAUCUUCGGACCUCGCGCCAUUAGAUGAGCCUAGGUCGGAUUAGCUAGUUGGUGAGGUAAUGGGCUCACCAAGGCGACGAUCCGUAACUGGUCUGAGAGGAUGAUCAGUCACACUGGAACUGAGACACGGUCCAGACUCCUACGGGAGGCAGCAGUGGGGAAUAUUGGACAAUGGGCGAAAGCCUGAUCCAGCCAUGCCGCGUGUGUGAAGAAGGUCUUCGGAUUGUAGAGCACUUUAAGUUGGGAGGAAGGGUAGUAACCUAAUACGUUGCUACUUUGACGUUACCGACAGAAUAAGCACCGGCUAACUUCGUG
Molecule: ribosomal RNA, 450 nt
Filed under: uncultured bacterium
Lineage: Bacteria
Description: bacterial SSU rRNA
Rfam family: Bacterial small subunit ribosomal RNA
Source: RNAcentral